Molecule: long non-coding RNA, 1930 nt
Organism: Oreochromis niloticus (Nile tilapia)
Lineage: Eukaryota; Metazoa; Chordata; Actinopteri; Cichliformes; Cichlidae
Exons: 4
Source: RefSeq, a predicted model, not a curated record
AUGUGUGCUCAUACACAUUUUAGGUGCCGUAAAACCAGCUAGAAGGCCUCUCAUUAGUUGGUACAACAAAGACAAUGUUGGCAUGCUGCACAAAUUCAUGGUGAAAGAACCCAGGCUGUUGUGGAACGGACUUUUACGUACAUGGUGAGAACAUCAUUAGAGCAAGCUGAAAUUCCAGUACAUCUAACAUUUUCUCCUUGUUAUCACAUGUGCAAACUGUUCCUCACGUUACCUUUGCAGGACAGUAGUGAUGCGUCGCGAACGAAACAGCUCUUAGAGCCGGCUCUUUGAAGUUACACGGUAGUUACAGUCGCAGUAGCACAGGAACAGAGCAGGAGGGAGAGAGAGAGAAAGAGAGCCAGGGGCAAGAACAAGAGACAACCUCAUCACAUCAGAAAGAGGGACUGGAUAAUACCGAAAUCAGAGUCCUGUCGCCUUUACCGGCCGCUGGUCUGGACAAGGAGGUCACAUAUGAGAAGUUUCACCAGGUCAGUCACAGUUUGGGUGACCUCGUUGGACAGUACUUUACUGGGGAGAAGCCAAAAGGUCAACUGGAGAUCGAGGGAAUUCUCAAAGUGGGGACAAAUAUUACGGGUGUAGGCGAGUUGAAGCUGGACACAGAUGGCACUCUGAGUCUUCGACCCCCUUCUAACGGUUCACAGUACUUCCUGACCCCAGUGGACUUCGACGCCACACAAGGAGAGAAUGAGAACUUUUUGGUGGAAAGUGUAGGUCAUUAUUUCUGCUUUGGCAGGGGCAGCAAUCAAUUUCUGGGCCAGGUUACGCUACUACCGCCACCUUGAGGCUCACAGGGAGCAGGAAAGAAAGGAAUUUAACAGACUGCUGGCUGAAGCCGCAAGACAGCAAAAUAAUGUACCAGGACAGGACAACCUUCAAGGCGUGGCCAUGUGUGUUAUUUGCCUCAAUCAGCCCUGUAUCUGUGUCUUGUUGGACUGUGGACACGUGUGCUGCUGCCACACCUGCUACCAGGCUCUGCCACAGCAAUAUUGCCCUAUUUGUAGACAGAGGAUUGUAAGAGUGCUACCUCUGUAUCAAGUCUGACGUAGCUGUGGAAGCAGGUCACCUCAGUAGAAGCUUCGAGUCUAAACUGCUACACUUAUUAAAUCAAAAAUUAAAUGUGAGUCAUGUUGUGAAAACAUUUUGUCCAUAACGGAGAUUUGUUGUGGGAAAUAUGGGAAUAUAAAACAAGUGGAAAAAUGUGUAAACUUGUGCAAUACAGAUGUUUGUUUUGCUGAGUGCUCAUGUGCCUUGUUUUAGCAUUUUCUACUGAGUGAUGGUACUUUAAAGUAAAUGGACUGAUUCUUUUAUAGUGCUUUCCUGCCCUGCCUGAGCACUCAAAGCACUUUACACAACUUCCCUCAUUCACCGGUUCAAGGAAGCAUUUUUUUGCUGGGAUUUUAACUGGGACAGCAGCCUUAAUCCCUCUGAAGACUGAUGACCCAAGCUUUGAAGAAACAGUUGGUGCUACCAGCCAGCUUACACAGACAAAUGCACAUCUGACUACAGCUCCUGGAAUUGAUUGCCUGUACAAAUAUAUCAAUACAGUGGUCGGAAAGAUAGAAAAUACUUCAACAAGUGCUGGGAGCAUAGAAAACUGUUCUAGCUGUUCAAAAAACAAGGAUACGUGGAUGCUCAAAUCUUCACAAUGUACAAACAAAAAAGACUGUGCACUGUGCAGACUGUGGAAACCAUUGUGAAAUUUACCUUCUUGCUGUUGCUGCUAAAUUGCUACUGUAGCCCAAAUCCUCUGUCACCUUCAGAAAUAUCUAUUAGAAGAGAUUUUUCCUGAAAGCCAGUGUGGCUUCCAGUCUUUCACCCACUGUGGACAUGGUCAAAGGAGUUCACCUCUCAUCCGAGAAGCUUCUUCAGUUCUAAGGUCAAAUGGCCGAGGUCCAUCUGACCUCAGGAA